GACGAACGCUGGCGGCGUGCUUAACACAUGCAAGUCGAACGGAAAGGCCCUGCUUUUGUGGGGUGCUCGAGUGGCGAACGGGUGAGUAACACGUGAGUAACCUGCCCUUGACUUUGGGAUAACUUCAGGAAACUGGGGCUAAUACCGGAUAGGAGCUCCUGCUGCAUGGUGGGGGUUGGAAAGUUUCGGCGGUUGGGGAUGGACUCGCGGCUUAUCAGCUUGUUGGUGGGGUAGUGGCUUACCAAGGCUUUGACGGGUAGCCGGCCUGAGAGGUUGACCGGCCACCUUGGGACUGCGAUACGGCCCAGACUCCUACGGGAGGCAGCAGUGGGGAAUAUUGCACAAUGGGCGGAAGCCUGAUGCAGCGACGCCGCGUGCGGGAUGACGGCCUUCGGGUUGUAAACCGCUUUCGCCUGUGACGAAGCGUGAGUGACGGUAAUGGGUAAAGAAGCACCGGCUAACUACGUG
RNAcentral lists this ribosomal RNA (468 nucleotides) under uncultured bacterium. Its description in RNAcentral is "partial 16S ribosomal RNA". It matches the Rfam family "Bacterial small subunit ribosomal RNA", at positions 28 to 507 of the family's 1533-position model. The record is from RNAcentral.